CGGGGCGUAGCGCAGUCUGGUUAGCGCGCCUGCCUUGGGAGCAGGAGGUCCCCAGUUCAAAUCUGGGCGCCCCGA
This 75-nucleotide transfer RNA is filed under the name Candidatus Vecturithrix granuli. It matches the Rfam family "tRNA". From Rfam's summary of the family: Transfer RNA (tRNA) molecules are approximately 80 nucleotides in length. Their secondary structure includes four short double-helical elements and three loops (D, anti-codon, and T loops). The record is from Rfam by way of RNAcentral. Lineage: Bacteria; Candidatus Moduliflexota; Candidatus Vecturitrichia; Candidatus Vecturitrichales; Candidatus Vecturitrichaceae. RNAcentral also lists the same sequence under 1 other name.